Molecule: ribosomal RNA, 491 nt
Filed under: uncultured bacterium
Lineage: Bacteria
Description: partial 16S ribosomal RNA
Rfam family: Bacterial small subunit ribosomal RNA
Source: RNAcentral
GUGAACGCUGGCGGUAGGCCUAACACAUGCAAGUCGAACGGCAGCACAGUAAGAGCUUGCUCUUACGGGUGGCGAGUGGCGGACGGGUGAGGAAUACAUCGGAAUCUACUUUUUCGUGGGGGAUAACGUAGGGAAACUUACGCUAAUACCGCAUACGACCUACGGGUGAAAGCAGGGGAUCUUCGGACCUUGCGCGAUUGAAUGAGCCGAUGUCGGAUUAGCUAGUUGGCGGGGUAAAGGCCCACCAAGGCGACGAUCCGUAGCUGGUCUGAGAGGAUGAUCAGCCACACUGGAACUGAGACACGGUCCAGACUCCUACGGGAGGCAGUAGUGGGGAAUAUUGGACAAUGGGCGCAAGCCUGAUCCAGCCAUACCGCGUGGGUGAAGAAGGCCUUCGGGUUGUAAAGCCCUUUUGUUGGGAAAGAAAAGCAGCAGGUUAAUACCCCGCUGUUCUGACGGUACCCAAAGAAUAAGCACCGGCUAACUUCGUG